AACGAACGCUGGCGGCAUGCCUAACACAUGCAAGUCGAACGGGACCUUCGGGUCUAGUGGCGCACGGGUGCGUAACGCGUGGGAACCUGCCUUUAGGUUCGGAAUAACUCAGAGAAAUUUGAGCUAAUACCGGAUGAUGUCUUCGGACCAAAGAUUUAUCGCCUUUAGAUGGGCCCGCGUUGGAUUAGCUAGUUGGUGGGGUAAAGGCCUACCAAGGCGACGAUCCAUAGCUGGUCUGAGAGGAUGAUCAGCCACACUGGGACUGAGACACGGCCCAGACUCCUACGGGAGGCAGCAGUGGGGAAUAUUGGACAAUGGGCGAAAGCCUGAUCCAGCAAUGCCGCGUGAGUGAUGAAGGCCUUAGGGUUGUAAAGCUCUUUUACCCGAGAUGAUAAUGACAGUAUCGGGAGAAUAAGCUCCGGCUAACUCCGU
This 432-nucleotide ribosomal RNA is filed under the name uncultured bacterium. RNAcentral describes it as "partial 16S ribosomal RNA". It matches the Rfam family "Bacterial small subunit ribosomal RNA", at positions 29 to 506 of the family's 1533-position model. The record is from RNAcentral.